Molecule: unclassified non-coding RNA, 1296 nt
Filed under: Homarus americanus (American lobster)
Lineage: Eukaryota; Metazoa; Arthropoda; Malacostraca; Decapoda; Nephropidae
Description: protein FAM76A-like, transcript variant X1
Source: RNAcentral
CAAGCAGACUAUGACGCCAUUGAAGUGUGUCAGUUGUUGUGGUAGGGAGUGAGGUGCUGGUGACUCUUCUAGUUAAUACCUUCCCUUACUUCUCUCUCUACAACUGAUGUAUGAAAAGAGAGGAAUUGUUUAUAGUGUAUAGAUAUAAACAUGUCUGCCUUAUUUGCCUGUUCUCGUUGCUUCAGUAGGCACCCUUUUGAGGAGCUCUCCCAGGGCCAGCAACUGUGUAAGGAGUGUAGAGGAUCGUUUCCCAUCGUAAAGUGUACCUAUUGUCGGAGUGAAUUCCAGCAAGAAAGUAAAAGCAGCACUGUUACAAUCUGCAAGAAAUGUGAGUCUAUGGUGAAGCAGUAUGGUAAACCCUCGGCCUGUGAGUACUGUAACGUUAUAGCUGCCUUCAUCGGUAACAAGUGCCAGCGGUGUACCAACUCUGAACGGAAGUAUGGCCCCCCGCUAUCCUGUGACCAGUGUAAACAAAAGUGUGCAUUUGACAGGAAGGAUAUAGACAAGAAGAAGGUAGAUGGUAAAUUAUUAUGUUGGCUGUGUACACUUUCAUACAAGCGAGCAUUGGCAAAAACAAAAGUCACCGACCCGGGUAGACAUUCGCACAUAAAACUUGGGUCGCGCUCAGGUCACCACAAGGAUAAGGAAAGCAGACACAAGCUAAGUGGGCACAACAAGCGACCCAACCGCCCCGAUGUCACCAAAAUGCCGCAGGAGGAACCCCCAGCCAAGCUGGGAAUAUAUGAUACAGACAAAGACACACAGAGUAUGGAUAUUCAUGACAAUUUUAAGACUGUGGCGAUGUCAGGAGGUACAAGCAAAAAGCGUAAUCCUACACAGGUGUCCAGGAACUCAGGGCCGACACGUGACAGUGAUCCAGGAACGGCCGACCAGCUCGUUCUUAUCACGCAGCUACGAGAACAGAUAGCUCGCCUGGAGAAGCAGCUUUCAGGAAAAGAUGCUCAGCUUUUAGCCAAGGAGAAACAGAUGUCGUUAGUGAUCUUCUAGUGACGACGCCAGAGACAUUCCACUACUGUAGGAGGGAUGUGUCUGUCUGCUUCAGCUGGUUGGGUGAGACGCAUCAUCACAUUGGGACUCUGAAACGUCGAUAAAUCAAUCUCCUCUACACAUAUCAUGGAAGAAGUGAGCCCCCAGACAUGUCUUACUGGGACAAUAACCUCACUAGCCUGAUGGAUUAACUGAAGCUCAAGAAAGAACCAAAAUGCAUAACAAGAUGACUCAAAAUGGCAUAGAUCCGGCAGCUAUUUAAGGGCGGAGUGGAUACAGCACACUGAA